AACACGACCAUGAGAUACCACCUCACACCAGUCAGAAUGGCCAUCAUUUAGAAGCCCACAAAUAGCAAGUGCUGGAGGGGGUGUGGAGAAAAGGGACCCCUCCUGCACUGCUGGUGGGAAUGGAAGCUGGUACAACCACUAGGGAAUACAGUAUGAGGUGCCUUAGAAAACUAUACAUAGAACAACCAUGUGACCCAGCAGUCCCCCUCUUGGGCAUAUAUCUGGACAAAACGGUCCUUGAAAAAGACACAUGCACCCGCAUGUUCAUUGCAGCUCUAUUCCCAAUAGCCAAGACAUGCAAACAACCCAAAUGUCCAUCAACACAUGAUUGGAUUAGGAAGAUGUGGUAUAUAUAUGCAAUGGAAUACUAUUCAGCCAUGACAAUGAACAAAACGAUGCCAUUUGCAGCAACAUGGAUGAACUAGAGACUCUCAUCCUGAGUGAAGUCAGAAGGACAAAUAGCAUAUGAUGUCACAUAUCUGAUAUCUAAUAUGUGGCACAAUUGGAACUUUCCACAGACAAUAAAAUCGUGGACUUGGAGAACAGACUUGUGGUUGCCCAGUGAGGUGUUUGGGGAGCUUGGGAUACUUGGAUGCAAACUAUUGCCUUUGGAAUGGAUGAGCAAUGAAGUCCUGCUGUGGAGCACUGAGAACUAUGUCUCGUCACUUAUGACGGAGCCUGAGCAUGAGAGAAAUGAGAACGGGUACAUGUAUGUGUAACUGGGUCACCGUGCUGUACAGUAGAAAAGAUAUUCUACUGGGAAAAAUAUGUUUUUUUUAAAUCCUAAGAGCUCUUAUCACAAGGAAAAAUUUUUUCUCCUCUUUCUGUUUCUACAGGAGAUGACGGACCUUUACUACAUUUAGUGUGGAUGUCAUUUCGGGAGGAAAGUCACUUCACUCUGCUGGACAUCUCAGGGAAAGCAGACGAAAAGUUAGUUAAACCUAAUCGCAUAAUCAAACAUUAAAAUCUCAAAACUUUAUCAUUCAAUCUAAAACCAUCAAUCUUAUAUUUGUUUAGAGGGUUUUUUUUCAGGUGUUCAUUUUUGGAUUUAGUUUUUGUUUUUUGCCUGUGGCACGCAGAGGACUGACGUGGGAUCUCCAUUCCCAGGCCAGGGAUUGAAUAUGGACCACAGAUGUGAAAGUACCGAGUCUGAACCCCUAGGCCACCAGGGAACUCCCUUCUGGACGCACUCUUCCUGGAAAAUUAACAGCUUCUACCUUUCCAUCCAAUUAGCCAGGAAGAACUGCAGAAAUGAAAGCCGUUUCUGGCUUGUUGUUAUAUUCUAGCCUUUGGGACAACGACCAUACAUACACAUCACCAAGUAGGGAGAAAAAAGUGUGUCCACGUCAGAACACGAGAGACGGUGCAUCUGGUGGUACAGGACGAAACCUCAUGAGAUGAAGUCUGGAUCCAAGAGGGACAGACAAAUGGGAGGCCCUGAGCUGUGGCCACAAGCAGCCGGGAGGAGGAGCAAGGUUUCCGGGAGAAAGAAACCCCAAGGCUGAGGCUGACAUCCAUCUAGAUUGUUCUCUGAGGGUGCUGUCGAAACUCAGCCUCCCUCUACCAUGGAGGUGGAGUUUUGGGUGAAGGAGGAAAAAAAUAACUUAAAUUGCUUUGCCGGGCAAAGGGUGUCACAGCAGGCUGCUGCCCUUAAGACUGGGUCCCCCUUUGGGAGAAAUGAGGAGUGGGUGGGUUUACAGUUUGGGGAGUAGAAAAUACGGCCACAGAGAAGGAUGAGAGAGGGUGUAAGCUUGCACUCUUCUCCAGAGCUGGUGUUUGGUGGCCCUGGGCGUCCUCCUCUCUGGCUGUCAUUGGUUGGGGGUUUAGUUCUGCACAAGAGCUCAAAGACCUCACUGAGUGUAUCACCUGAGGGACAAGGUCCUGCCCCCAGGCGGCACUGAGGUCCCCUGAAGGCCCCUCCCUGGUCUAUGCACCCCCUCCCUUCCCUGAUCAGUACCUGCCCACACCUGCCUUUGGCUCAGGGAAAGGCCUGGAGGAUGAAGCUUACUUCCUACAAACAAGGCAUGGAGGGGGGCACAGACAGCCAGGCCCUCAGGAAGCAGACACUGUGUCAAGCACAGGCCAGUUCCAUCAUCUGGGUUCUUCACCAAGUCUCACCCCCACCCCUUUGGGAUCAGACGCAGAAAUGCAGAGAGGCAGACAAAUGCGCCACUGGGUCAAGUCCCAACAUGAGAGACUCCAGGUCCUAACUACAGACACUAGAGAUGGUGACAGAGGUGGAAACAUCGGGAAGGACGGACGAGAAGAGCAGGAAGGGAAAUGUGAUGACGAAGAAGGUACAGAGGUGGCCCCAUUUCACGGAGCACCCCCCCCCCAAGAAAAUUAGGAAACGAUAACUAGAAUAGGAUGGGUUUAUUUUCACUUUGAAUGCACUACCAUUAAUUCCACCAAGAAAGGGAAAACUGACCCCAUGAUCCAGUAACCCCACACCUGGACACACAUCCAGAAAAUGCACAGUCUAAAUCCAAAAGAUCCAUGCACCCCCAUGUUCAUGGCAGAAAUAUUCCCAAGAGCCAAGACCCGGAAACAACCUAAAUGUCCACGACAGGGGACUGGAUGAGAAGAUGUGGUGCAUAUGCACAGUGGAAGCCCACUCAGCCAUGACAAAGAGUGAAACUCUGCCAUUUGCAGCAACAGGGAUGGACGAGCAGGGCAUAAUGUUAUGACAGGAGUCAGCCAGAGAAAGACCAAUACUGUACCACAGCACUGAGAUAUAGAAUGUAAAAAACACAACAGAUGAGUGAGUAUGACCCAAAAGCACCAGACUCACAGACACAGAAAAUUAGGAGUAACCCAUUGGGGGGGUGGGGGAAAUAGGGGGAAGGGAGUGAGAGGUACAAACUGCUGUGUUUAAAAUAUACAUGUUGCAAAGGGGAUCCUGUACAGCUCAGGAAAUAGAGCCAGUAUUUUACAAGAAACGUAAAUGGAACGUAACGUCCAACAAGAAAAAGGCCCAUCUUCCCAGGCUCUGCACAGCCGUGCUGGCCGGGGCUAGAAGCUGGUUCUGCAGCACAGCUCCAACCUCCUUCCACACCCAUGUGUACUCACUGCUCCAGGGUCGCCAGGACCCAGGGCACCACAUGACCAAGGCGGGGACCCUCAAACCUGCUGUGGUGGGGGGGGGCUCUGGGGCUGUUCCCUCUCCCUUUUCCAGAUUCUGCUGCUGUCCCACAGUAGCUCACGUCUCUUCCCAGCCCCAUUAUUCACUGACCCAAAGGCUCUUCCUUCAUCCCAAACAGGCUCACAAAACCAAACCCCAUGCCAUUCCCUCAGGCUUGGUGCCCAGACCAUUACUCACUCAAAGACAUCCCCAAACUCCUCAGGCACCUCUGCCAGACCCCUGAGGGAUGUAGGAUGGUGUAUCAGGGCCUGCAGAGCAGCUGAACCAAUACCAUGUUUGGAAGGAGAGGGAGACACAGACUCAUUUUAAGGAAUCGUCUCAUGCAGUUGUGAAGGAUGGCAGGUCCGGAGGUUGCAGGCAGCCUGGCAAGCUGGAGGCCCAGGGAACAGGCGAUGCUGUAGCUUGAAGCUGCCAUCUAUCUGGAGGCAGGAUUUCCCCUACUUCGGGGACCUCAGUUUUUUCCUCUAAAGGUCCUCAACUGAUUAGGCAUGGAGCACCCACAUAUGACACCUUUCAUUGUUUAUUCUAUUUUGUUUGCUUUUUAGGGUCACAACCUCAGCAUGUGGAUGUUCCUGGGCCUGGGGUCAAAUCAGAGCUGCAGCUGCCAGCCUACACCACAGCCAGCGCCAACACAGGGUCUGAGCCAUACCUGCAAACUAUACCUGACUUUUCGGCAAUGCUGGUUCCUUAAACCCUCAUGGAAGCCAGGGAUUGACCUUGCAUCUUCACAGUCACUGUGUCACGUUCUUAAACCACCGGGCCACAACCCCUGAGCCACAAAGGAACUCCUAUUUUUAGACUCUGCAUAUGGGUGAGAAUCACAGGAUGAGUCAUUCUCUGCCUUACUUCACCCAACAGCACACCCUCCAGGUGCUGGUUGGAUGGAGUGAGCUGAGAGGGUCACCAUCUCUCUCUCCAGGAAGCCCACAGGGUCCCCAAGUCCCCCCCAACCAAAGAACUCAGGAAAUACCUGACGUACCUGUUGCUCAUCAAGGGGGGAACAGCCAGAGGUGAGGGGAGGGUGGGAGAGGGUCCCACAUGCAGGAGCUUCUGUGUCCUUGGACUUGGCGCAUCUGCACCCUCUCAGCCGUGGGCUCCCCAACCCGAAAUCUCUGAGACCCCUUUUUUGGGAGGUUCCAGUAGGCCUAAUUAAAGGUUGACCCCUCAGCAAGCCUCAAAGUUGGGGGUGGAGCUAAAAAACCCAACCCUUUCAUCACCAAGGUGGUUCCUCUGGUACCAGCCCCACCUCAUUAACAAACAGGUGAGCCUGGGUUUCUCAGGAAAAACUAAAGAUGCUCUGCUCACAGGGAUCAAGAACUUGCUAUGGUUUUAGGAGCUGUCUGUGUGCCAGGGACCAGGUCCUCCUGGAUGAGGAGGGGCCCUCAACCUACUAACAAGUAUCCUUACAACAGAGAAGACACAGAGGAGCAGCCACGGGAAGGGUCUGGGAGGAUGUCCUCCAGGAUGAGGGGGCCCUCCCUCCAAGGACUGUGUCCUCCUAAAGAGAGAAGUGGAAAACCGGACACAGAGGAGAAGCCAUGGGAAGAUGGAUGCAGAGAUGGGAGAAAGGCGGCCACCUGGCACCCCCAGAAGCUGCAAGAGGCAGGAAGGACCCUCCCCUGGAGCCUCUGCAGGGAACACAGGGGAUUUAUGAGGCCUGCACCCCAAAAUGUUGCCCCAAAGCAGAGCCUCAAGAAAUAGACACACACACAAUGGAGUAUCAGCCAUAAAAAAGUGAAAUAAUGGCAUUUGCAGCAACACAGUUGGACCUAGAGAUUCCCAUACUGACUGAAGGCAGAUACAGGAAGACAAAUACCAUCGGAGAUCACUUAUAUCUGGACCUUAAAACAUGGCCCAAAUGAACUUGUCUACACAACAGAAACCAGCUCAGAGUCAUGGAGCACGAUUUGUGGUUGACAAGGGGGAGGGAGUGGGUGGGGAGUAGUUUGGGGUCAGUAGCUGCCAACUGUGACAUUGAGAAUGGAGAAGCAGGAGUUCCCUUCAUGAGUCAGUGGAAACGAAUCUGACGGGGAACCAUGAGGUUGCAGGUUCAAUCCCUGGCCU
Molecule: long non-coding RNA, 5206 nt
Filed under: Sus scrofa (pig)
Lineage: Eukaryota; Metazoa; Chordata; Mammalia; Artiodactyla; Suidae
Description: lncRNA (ENSSSCG00050049503.1)
Source: RNAcentral